GGGGGUAGCGAAGUGGCUAAACGCGGCGGACUGUAAAUCCUCCUUCGUUCGGCAGUUCGAAUCUGCCCCUCCACCA
This 76-nucleotide transfer RNA is filed under the name Staphylococcus xylosus. RNAcentral describes it as "tRNA-Tyr". It matches the Rfam family "tRNA". From Rfam's summary of the family: Transfer RNA (tRNA) molecules are approximately 80 nucleotides in length. Their secondary structure includes four short double-helical elements and three loops (D, anti-codon, and T loops). Lineage: Bacteria; Bacillati; Bacillota; Bacilli; Caryophanales; Staphylococcaceae. The record is from RNAcentral.